UGCUUAGUAGCCUCUAAAUGAAAGCUA
RNAcentral lists this non-coding RNA (27 nucleotides) under Rattus norvegicus (Norway rat). The record is from RNAcentral. Lineage: Eukaryota; Metazoa; Chordata; Mammalia; Rodentia; Muridae.